UUUACUGAGCCUGCAAACCAACCUCUGCAUUUAAAGCAUGCUAACAUGGGGUGCAGGGAGAUGGCAGGAGGGGAUCUUGUCAACACAUCUGUAGUAUGCCCAAGGGGAGAACAGCAGUAAGAUGGACCCAGAGGGUAACCUCCUUCCAGAACAAGAUGUAUUGUACUGCAAUGGCCAAGGCCUCUUCCUAUUCCUACCAGGAUCAGGAGGUGGCAAAAAAUAAGUUACCAGUAGAUGCACCUAAUCAUGGCAAGGCUAGGAGAAACCCUUCAGGAGCUGUGAAGAAGAGGAGGUCUCCUCUGACACUGGGAUGAACGGGCAGAAAAUGACUAACCCCCUCCGUUGACUUAAGUUGAAUUGCGCCACAACACACGCAAGAUGUCCCACUAGCUGGAGAAGAAGUAUGUUCCAAAGGAGAAGGUCAGAACUGAUUGGAGAUGCCAGGGAAAGAUUUCUCUCCUUACCUGGCAUUGGUAUGAAUUGAUCCUCUUUAAUACAAAGGUCUGUGUCCUGGCCACCAGUAAAACAUAGACAUUUGUGGGACCUGAAGGUGUCCAAACUAAAGGUUAAAACCAUGUGUGCAAUCCAGUCAGUGCUAUAUUAACAGGUCCAGCAUUUCCCAGCACUAGAGUUUUAUUGCAACCCUCCCCCAUCUUACAAUUACAAUCCUCCUCCUCUCUGGUUUAGGGGAUGGGUUUUCUUUUGCCAACUAGAUAAAAAGCUCUUUGGGACCAUGAUUUUUUAGUGUGUUUUGUGCUCACAAGGAGGGUGGGAUCUGCAAAAGAUCCCAAGCUCUUGUGUCUUUUAAACAGUGAUGAUGAUAAUAUAAAUGUCAGAGGCAUUCCCAAAGUUCCUUUUUUAACCAUCUGGCUGUAACGGGAAGGCUCAGAGGUGGUCUCAGAGAGUAGAUCCCUGGAAGGAGAAAAAGCUGAGAUGCCAACUUGAGGGUCCAAGCUGCAUUUUAUUUUAUCAUUACAGUUUCCAGUUAUAUUCAGAAAUGAGAGGAACUGGUUUUUCAGUCAACCUGCAGCUCAGAUCACCUCAGAACAGGAGGUUUUGAUGCAGCAGGUGAAGUGCACAAGGCUGCUAGCUGGAAACAAAUAUUCCUGGGCAGUAUUGCAAUGAUGCAAUUAAAGGGAACACAACAUCCAUGACGCAGGGCAGGAUUCUUCAGAAAACAAAUUGAAAGAGCUGAGUUGGUUGUUUGGCCUUUUCUCAAGGCCCAAGAUGAUUUUUUUUCAACAGAAUUUAUCUUUAGUAUGAAUAUGGAAGACUUCUGUUUAAGAGAGUCAUAUCCAGCACAGCAAAAUCCUUGGCCAAAGGACUGCUUCCCCUGUGACUGCCUGGGUUGCACUCGAGUGCCCAGCACCUGGAUGGACACAGCAACCAAGUGUAGGA
Pezoporus occidentalis (night parrot) is the source of this 1398-nucleotide long non-coding RNA. RefSeq lists it as uncharacterized. The transcript has 3 exons. NCBI's taxonomy places the organism in Eukaryota, Metazoa, Chordata, Aves, Psittaciformes, Psittacidae. The record is from RefSeq and is a predicted model, not a curated record.